RNAcentral lists this ribosomal RNA (253 nucleotides) under uncultured bacterium. RNAcentral describes it as "partial 16S ribosomal RNA". It matches the Rfam family "Bacterial small subunit ribosomal RNA", at positions 524 to 776 of the family's 1533-position model. The record is from RNAcentral.
UACGUAGGUGGCAAGCGAUACUCGGAAUUACUGGGCGUAAAGCGUGCGUAGGUGGUUUGUUAAGUCUGAUGUGAAAGCCCUGGGCUCAACCUGGGAACGGCAUUGGAAACUGGCUUACUAGAGUGCGGUAGAGGGGUGUGGAAUUCCCGGUGUAGCAGUGAAAUGCGUAGAUAUCGGGAGGAACAUCUGUGGCGAAGGCGACACCCUGGACCAGCACUGACACUGAGGCACGAAAGCGUGGGGAGCAAACAGG